This 229-nucleotide ribosomal RNA is filed under the name uncultured bacterium. RNAcentral describes it as "partial 16S ribosomal RNA". It matches the Rfam family "Bacterial small subunit ribosomal RNA", at positions 568 to 796 of the family's 1533-position model. The record is from RNAcentral.
UGCGUAGGCGGGCUAAUAAGUCAGUGGUGAAAUCUCUCGGCUCAACCGGGAAACUGCCAUUGAUACUGUUAGUCUUGAGUUCGGUUGAGGUAGGCGGAAUGUGUAAUGUAGCGGUGAAAUGCUUAGAUAUUACACAGAACACCAAUUGCGUAGGCAGCUUACUAGACCGACACUGACGCUGAGGCACGAAAGCGUGGGGAGCGAACAGGAUUAGGUACCCUGGUAGUCC